UGUAGAAAAAUUCUGGGAACGAGAAAUCAGGACUUUCUGAAUGAGGGAAAAGAGCAAAGGAGUGAGAAUUGUGCAGGCAAUAAUGAGAAAACAAGUGUUUUGAGGGGAAGUUUUGGAAAGUAAUGGGAGAGCAGGGAUCUUCAUCAGGAAAUACACAGUGCUGUCAAGGAAAAUACUGCUGCACAGUCCCUGCUCUCAACAACAUCCUCAGUGUCCUUGUGGUGGGGUGUCUUGGAAGGACUGUGCAGAUCAAGCUUCACACUGCCUCUGCCCUCGAGGCUCUCUGUGCUGGGAUUGCUCCUCUGAUAUUACCUCGAUUUCUCAGCCUUGCUUGUGACCAAAGAGGAGAUUUUAGCUCUUCAGGUAAUUGUCUUGUCCUGCAGAUGACGGAUUUAUAGGAAUAUUGCACAUUGUCAACAAAAAGAAACAACUGACUGAUCAGUGGGGUUUUUACUCCUCCUCCCCCUUUUCUCUGAGAGAACCAAGAGACAACCAUUUCUGGACAGCUCCCCCUCCUCUUUGAAGAGCAGGGAAUUCAAGCAGCCCAUCUAAUCCUGUGGUGCAGAGGCUUUGUUGAAGCAGGGAGGUAGGUGUUAUAGGCAGCAUAUCCUCAGCAGAAGAGUUUUUCUGGGAAGAGGACCUAGGGCUACCCAAGGGCCAGCUCAGGAUCAUUGAAUUGUGGGUCACUGGAGUAGUGGGGUGAGUACAAUUGCCUUGAGAGGUCCUGUCCAGCAAUGACUCUUCAGCAUCCUUGGUUUUCUCAGCCUUAGUACUGUAGUAAAUACAUGCUUUAGAAAGAGAAUAUGCUGGGAUCUGCAACACAUCUAGUCGAAGUGCAAGACCUCAUGGGUCCAGACGUGCAAUAGGAUGCCCACUGCUUCAGCUCAUCAGUCACCUUCUGCACCCAAUAUCUAUUCAUUCUACUGUCAGCUCCCACACUCAAUCUGUUUUACAGUCCAUUAAUUUCAAAGUAUAGGACCAGAGUAACUUCAACAAGAGACAGGGAAAAGGUUUAAAAGAGUCUGAAAAGUUUGCAAAUUUACAAACAAAUGACUGCAAAUGAUCAUCGUAUUUGAAAAGUCAUGGCAGUCCAGUGAAGUUGUCACUGACUGGAAAAGGGAAAACAUAAAAGGGUAAACAGAAAGACGUGAGGAACUGCAGGACAGUCAGUCUCACCCCAGUGUCUGGCAAGAUCGUGGGAGAGAUCCUCCUGGAAACUGUGCUAAGUCAUGAGGAAAAUAAAGAAGUGAUUGGUGGCA
This 1259-nucleotide long non-coding RNA is filed under the name Serinus canaria (Common canary). RNAcentral's name for it is "lncRNA (ENSSCAG00000000722.1)". The record is from RNAcentral. Lineage: Eukaryota; Metazoa; Chordata; Aves; Passeriformes; Fringillidae.